ACUUGGGUAGCUUAUAUUAGAGCUUAACAUUGAAGAUGUUAUUGAGAUUUUUUAUCUUCAAGUA
Molecule: transfer RNA, 64 nt
Filed under: Cryptocercus kagongensis
Lineage: Eukaryota; Metazoa; Arthropoda; Insecta; Blattodea; Cryptocercidae
Description: tRNA-Phe
Source: RNAcentral